RNAcentral lists this ribosomal RNA (528 nucleotides) under uncultured bacterium. RNAcentral describes it as "bacterial SSU rRNA". It matches the Rfam family "Bacterial small subunit ribosomal RNA", at positions 777 to 1304 of the family's 1533-position model. The record is from RNAcentral.
AAUAGAUACCCGGGUAGUCCAUGCCGUAAACGUUGGGCGCUAGAUGUGGGGACCAUUCCACGGUUUCCGUGUCGCAGCUAACGCAUUAAGCGCCCCGCCUGGGGAGUACGGCCGCAAGGCUAAAACUCAAAGGAAUUGACGGGGGCCCGCACAAGCGGCGGAGCAUGCGGAUUAAUUCGAUGCAACGCGAAGAACCUUACCAAGGCUUGACAUAUACGAGAACGCUCUAGAAAUAGAGAACUCUUUGGACACUCGUAUACAGGUGGUGCAUGGUUGUCGUCAGCUCGUGUCGUGAGAUGUUGGGUUAAGUCCCGCAACGAGCGCAACCCUCGUUCUAUGUUGCCAGCGGUUCGGCCGGGAACUCAUAGGAGACUGCCGGGGUCAACUCGGAGGAAGGUGGGGAUGACGUCAAAUCAUCAUGCCCCUUAUGUCUUGGGCUUCACGCAUGCUACAAUGGCCGGUACAAAGGGCUGCAAUACCGUAAGGUGGAGCGAAUCCCAAAAAGCCGGUCUCAGUUCGGAUUGAGGU